GUGGGGAAUAUUGGGCAAUGGGCGCAAGCCUGACCCAGCAACGCCGCGUGAGGGAAGAAGGUUUUCGGAUUGUAAACCUCUGUCGCAGAAGACGAAGGAAGUGACGGUAAUCUGUGAGGAAGCCCCGGCUAACUACGUGCCAGCAGCCGCGGUAAUACGUAGGGGGCGAGCGUUGUCCGGAAUUACUGGGCGUAAAGGGAGCGUAGGCGGUUAAUUAAGUUAGAUGUGAAAUACCCGGGCUUAACUUGGGGGGUGCAUCUAAUACUGGUAAACUAGAGUACAGGAGAGGAAAGCGGAAUUCCUAGUGUAGCGGUGAAAUGCAUAGAUAUUAGGAGGAACAUCGGUGGCGAAGGCGGCUUUCUGGACUGACACUGACGCUGAGGCUCGAAAGCGUGGGGAGCAAACAGGAUUAGAAACCCUAGUAGUCC
This 428-nucleotide ribosomal RNA is filed under the name uncultured bacterium. Its description in RNAcentral is "bacterial SSU rRNA". It matches the Rfam family "Bacterial small subunit ribosomal RNA", at positions 354 to 796 of the family's 1533-position model. The record is from RNAcentral.